RNAcentral lists this long non-coding RNA (793 nucleotides) under Zonotrichia albicollis (white-throated sparrow). RNAcentral describes it as "lncRNA (ENSZALG00000014281.1)". The record is from RNAcentral. Lineage: Eukaryota; Metazoa; Chordata; Aves; Passeriformes; Passerellidae.
AUAAUUAAUCAUUUCCUGUCCCUCCUCUUUAGAUCUCUUCUAGCUGGAGUCUUUUGGUCUCAAGUGUGAUAUUCACUGCAGCAGGGAGAAACAAGAAGCUGGUCAGACCCACUCCUUCCAGUACUGCCUACACACUGCCUACACUUUCUCCUCACUGAAACCUUCUUGUCAUUGCAAAGGCAGUAGAGCAUCAGCACAGGGACUGUGCAGCUAUUCUGCUGGAACAUGGUGCCAACCACGACCACAGAGGUGUAAAUGGUAACACCGCCCUUCACUUUGCUGUCAGGGUUUCUAGCAAACCUCUAGUGGAGCUGUUACUGGAGUAUGGUGCAGAUAUUGAUGCUAAGAAUAAAUGGGGAUACACUCCGCUUACUCUUGCAAUCACUGAAAACCGCGAAGAAAUGGUCAAGUUCCUUCUUCAAAAAGGAGCUGACGUGAAUGCUCAGGAUGAAGUUUUUAGGACCCCUCUUACAGUUGCUACUUUUUCUGGAAAUGAGAAAAUAAUACAACUACUUCUUCAACAUGGUGCUGUUCUUCCUGAGUCAGACAAGGAACUCAACCUAUGCCAACCUUUCACCAAAAUGGUUCAAGAUAAUGUUAUUGCUGAUGAAAAAAUUGGGAGCUCCUGCUAUGAGACAACUCCUGUCAUUCCCUUGGAAACAGCUGCAUCGGCAGAAUCAUGUGCAGAAUCAGUAGAAGGUGAAAAGGAAGACAGUGAUUCCUCCUGGGGUUCAAAGGGGUCUUGCAACCAGCAGGAGCAGCAGUGAAAAAGGAAGAUACUGAUUCUCCCAGG